GACGAACGCUGGCGGCGUGCUUAACACAUGCGAGUCGAACGGCAAGGCCCUGCUUUUGUGGGGUGCUCGAGUGGCGAACGGGUGAGUAACACGUGAGUAACCUGCCCUUGACUUUGGGAUAACUUCAGGAAACUGGGGCUAAUAUCGGAUAGGAUCUCCUGCUGCGUUGUGGGCGUUGGAACGUUUCGGCGGUUGGGGAUGGACUCGCGGCUUAUCAGCUUGUUGGUGGGGUAGUGGCUUACCAAGGAUUUGACGGGUAGCCGGCCUGAGAGGGUGACCGGCCACAUUGGGACUGAGAUACGGCCCAGACGCCUACGGGAGGCAGCAGUGGGGAAUAUUGCACAAUGGGCGGAAGCCUGAUGCAGCAACGCCGCGUGCGGGAUGACGGCCUUCGGGUUGUAAACCGCUUUCGCCUGUGACGAAGCGUGAGUGACGGUAAUGGGUAAAGAAGCACCGGCUAACUACGUG
This 468-nucleotide ribosomal RNA is filed under the name uncultured bacterium. RNAcentral describes it as "partial 16S ribosomal RNA". It matches the Rfam family "Bacterial small subunit ribosomal RNA", at positions 28 to 507 of the family's 1533-position model. The record is from RNAcentral.